Molecule: ribosomal RNA, 484 nt
Filed under: uncultured bacterium
Lineage: Bacteria
Description: partial 16S ribosomal RNA
Rfam family: Bacterial small subunit ribosomal RNA
Source: RNAcentral
AUUGAACGCUGGCGGCAUGCUUUACACAUGCAAGUCGAACGGCAGCGCGGGCUUCGGCCUGGCGGCGAGUGGCGAACGGGUGAGUAAUGCAUUGGAACGUGCCCAGUAGUGGGGGAUAGCCCGGCGAAAGCCGGAUUAAUACCGCAUACGACCUGAGGGUGAAAGCGGGGGACCGAAAGGCCUCGCGCUAUUGGAGCGGCCGAUGUCGGAUUAGCUAGUUGGUGGGGUAAAGGCUUACCAAGGCGACGAUCCGUAGCUGGUCUGAGAGGACGACCAGCCACACUGGGACUGAGACACGGCCCAGACUCCUACGGGAGGCAGCAGUGGGGAAUUUUGGACAAUGGGGGCAACCCUGAUCCAGCCAUGCCGCGUGAGGGAAGAAGGCCUUCGGGUUGUAAACCGCUUUUGUUCGGGAAGAAAUCCUCUGGGCUAAUACCCCGGGGGGAUGACGGUACCGGAAGAAUAAGCACCGGCUAACUACGUG